RNAcentral lists this long non-coding RNA (261 nucleotides) under Rattus norvegicus (Norway rat). Its description in RNAcentral is "long non-coding RNA NONRATT028281". Lineage: Eukaryota; Metazoa; Chordata; Mammalia; Rodentia; Muridae. The record is from RNAcentral.
UUAGAAAUAAAAGAAAAAAUGUUAGCAAAGCAACAGAUCUCAGACAGAAGAUACAAAGCUGUCAGAACAGAAAACACACACCUGAAGGGAAUGAUGGGAGACUUAGACCCUGCACGGUACUUGCAUCAAGACAGUAGAAGCAUCUGGAAGCACUCUCCCUUCUUCCUUGAGCAUGGCUGUGGAUCCUGUGAUUGGAGCACAGAUGGAUAAAAGGGAAGCUUGCUGGUCUCCCUAUGUGCUACAUUAAAAACCUACCCGUCA